Molecule: ribosomal RNA, 468 nt
Filed under: uncultured bacterium
Lineage: Bacteria
Description: partial 16S ribosomal RNA
Rfam family: Bacterial small subunit ribosomal RNA
Source: RNAcentral
GACGAACGCUGGCGGCGUGCUUAACACAUGCAAGUCGAACGGAAAGGCCCUGCUUUUGUGGGGUGCUCGAGUGGCGAACGGGUGAGUAACACGUGAGUAACCUGCCCUUGACUUUGGGAUAACUUCAGGAAACUGGGGCUAAUACCGGAUAGGAGCUCCUGCUGCAUGGUGGGGGUUGGAAAGUUUCGGCGGUUGGGGAUGGACUCGCGGCUUAUCAGCUUGUUGGUGGGGUAGUGGCUUACCAAGGCUUUGACGGGUAGCCGGCCUGAGAGGGUGACCGGGCACAUUGGGACUGAGAGACGGCCCAGAAUCGAACGGGAGGCAGCAGUGGGGAAUAUUGCACAAUGGGCGGAAGCCUGAUGCAGCAACGCCGCGUGCGGGAUGACGGCCUUCGGGUUGUAAACCGCUUUCGCCUGUGACGAAGCGUGAGUGACGGUAAUGGGUAAAGAAGCACCGGCUAACUACGUG